GAUGAACGCUGACGGCGUGCCUAAUACAUGCAAGUCGAGCGAACGGACGAGAAGCUUGCUUCUCUGAUGUUAGCGGCGGACGGGUGAGUAACACGUGGAUAACCUACCUAUAAGACUGGGAUAACUUCGGGAAACCGGAGCUAAUACCGGAUAAUAUUUUGAACCGCAUGGUUCAAAAGUGAAAGACGGUCUUGCUGUCACUUAUAGAUGGAUCCGCGCUGCAUUAGCUAGUUGGUAAGGUAACGGCUUACCAAGGCAACGAUGCAUAGCCGACCUGAGAGGGUGAUCGGCCACACUGGGACUGAGACACGGUCCAGACUCCUACGGGAGGCAGCAGUAGGGAAUCUUCCGCAAUGGGCGAAAGCCUGACGGAGCAACGCCGCGUGAGUGAUGAAGGUCUUCGGAUCGUAAAACUCUGUUAUUAGGGAAGAACAUAUGUGUAAGUAACUGUGCACAUCUUGACGGUACCUAAUCAGAAAGCCACGGCUAACUACGUG
RNAcentral lists this ribosomal RNA (497 nucleotides) under uncultured bacterium. Its description in RNAcentral is "partial 16S ribosomal RNA". It matches the Rfam family "Bacterial small subunit ribosomal RNA", at positions 28 to 507 of the family's 1533-position model. The record is from RNAcentral.